This is a regulatory RNA element of Vibrio nigripulchritudo, 124 nucleotides long. It matches the Rfam family "Phenylalanine leader peptide". NCBI's taxonomy places the organism in Bacteria, Pseudomonadati, Pseudomonadota, Gammaproteobacteria, Vibrionales, Vibrionaceae. The record is from Rfam.
GCGUUCAACUAACCUGUUCUUUUUUGACUUCUUUUUUAUCUCCUAGCAUUGGGGGCAGAAGUCGUUUACUGAAAGAAAAGUCAAAAACGAACAGAAAGCCUCCCAAACGGGAGGCUUUUUUAAU